UCUUCCGUAGUAUAGUGGUCAGUAUGUGAGCUUGUCACCUAAGCCGACAUCGCUCGAGACCCGGGUUCAAUUCCCGGCGGGAGAG
This 85-nucleotide transfer RNA is filed under the name Chaetomium tenue. RNAcentral describes it as "tRNA-Asp". It matches the Rfam family "tRNA". Rfam says of the family: Transfer RNA (tRNA) molecules are approximately 80 nucleotides in length. Their secondary structure includes four short double-helical elements and three loops (D, anti-codon, and T loops). Further hydrogen bonds mediate the characteristic L-shaped molecular structure. tRNAs have two regions of fundamental functional importance: the anti-codon, which is responsible for specific mRNA codon recognition, and the 3' end, to which the tRNAs corresponding amino acid is attached (by aminoacyl-tRNA synthetases). tRNAs cope with the degeneracy of the genetic code in two manners: having more than one tRNA (with a specific anti-codon) for a particular amino acid; and 'wobble' base-pairing, i.e. permitting non-standard base-pairing at the 3rd anti-codon position. Lineage: Eukaryota; Fungi; Ascomycota; Sordariomycetes; Sordariales; Chaetomiaceae. The record is from RNAcentral. RNAcentral also lists the same sequence under 1 other name.